GCCCCUGUAGCUCAGUUGGAUAGAGCAGCGGUUUCCUAAACCGCUUGUCGGGCGUUCGAAUCGCCCCAGGGGUACCA
This 77-nucleotide transfer RNA is filed under the name Dehalococcoidia bacterium. RNAcentral describes it as "tRNA-Arg". It matches the Rfam family "tRNA". Rfam says of the family: Transfer RNA (tRNA) molecules are approximately 80 nucleotides in length. Their secondary structure includes four short double-helical elements and three loops (D, anti-codon, and T loops). Lineage: Bacteria; Bacillati; Chloroflexota; Dehalococcoidia. The record is from RNAcentral.